RNAcentral lists this ribosomal RNA (253 nucleotides) under uncultured bacterium. Its description in RNAcentral is "partial 16S ribosomal RNA". It matches the Rfam family "Bacterial small subunit ribosomal RNA", at positions 524 to 776 of the family's 1533-position model. The record is from RNAcentral.
UACGAAGGGGGCUAGCGUUGCUCGGAAUCACUGGGCGUAAAGCGCACGUAGGCGGACUCUUAAGUCGGUGGUGAAAUCCUGGAGCUCAACUCCAGAACUGCCUUCGAUACUGAGAGUCUCGAGUCCGGGAGAGGUGAGUGGAACUUCGAGUGUAGAGGUGAAAUUCGUAGAUAUUCGCAAGAACACCAGUGGCGAAGGCGGCUCACUGGCCCGGUACUGACGCUGAGGUGCGAAAGCGUGGGGAGCAAACAGG